Long non-coding RNA from Homo sapiens (human), 729 nucleotides. RefSeq lists it as uncharacterized. The transcript has 2 exons. The record is from RefSeq and is a predicted model, not a curated record. Lineage: Eukaryota; Metazoa; Chordata; Mammalia; Primates; Hominidae.
AAAGGAAAGAGAUGCUCAAAUUCCCAACAAUGGUAUCUACUGGAGCUGUAACUUUGAUCUAGGUUUUCCAGAUUCUCAAAACACUGACUAUUGAGAUGGUGGCUGAAGUACUGAUGGAAGCAUUGGUGAUGAUGGUAGGAGUAGGUGCAGUGGUGUUGACACCAAAGCAAAUUCCAAAAGUUACAAAGAAUAACGAUAGCUAAUAUUGAUAUGCACUUAUUCUGUCAGACACUCUCUUGAGUGCCUUACAUUUAUUAACCGUGAAAUCCUCAAACUACGUUAUGCGAUAAGUUUUAUGAUUCCAUGUUUUAGAAGAAAAAACUAAAAUGCUGAUACAUUAAUUGUUUUGACCAAGAUGUCACAGAUGAGUGGUAUAAUCAGGAUUGUUUGAAUCUAGUUUUGAGUCUAAAACUAGUAUCUCAGUCUCUACAGUAUUUUACUUUUCCAGAAAGUUGCAGACUAUCACUGCUUUGUAAUUUAAUGUUUUCAGUCUGGCAUGGUAGGAAAAGUACAAAGCUUUUGAAAGAAAGAUACAAGUCCCUGCUCCAUCAUUUCUAAUCCAGUAAGCUAUUUCCUCAUCUUAUAUAGUGAGAAAUUUCUGCCCCGCCUAUCUAAAUUAUAAGAUGAUCUCAGAUAAAGUAUUUUGCAAACUGAACAUUUAAUUGUAAUAAAUGCUGCCUUUUCUGCAGCUACUUUUGUUCUCAAUAAAAUUUAGUUAUUUUAAGCCAA